Molecule: transfer RNA, 82 nt
Filed under: Bacteroidota bacterium
Lineage: Bacteria; Pseudomonadati; Bacteroidota
Also listed under: 1 other name
Description: Bacteroidetes bacterium tRNA-Leu
Rfam family: tRNA
About the family: Transfer RNA (tRNA) molecules are approximately 80 nucleotides in length. Their secondary structure includes four short double-helical elements and three loops (D, anti-codon, and T loops).
Source: RNAcentral
GCGGGUGUGGCGAAAUUGGUAGACGCGCUAGACUUAGGAUCUAGUGCCGUAAGGCAUGGGGGUUCGAGUCCCUUCACCCGCA